AUUUCUUCGAGCUCCCUUCUCGUUCGAGAUCUACUCUUCGUUUCUUUUCCUCUGCUCGGAUCUGUUAUUGUGGAUGAGAUUUAGGUUAUUCGUCUUCGAUUUUAAACGUUUUGACAUGCUAUAGUGGCGAUCUAUUGAUGGAUUAGGGUUUUAUUGCUCAUUUCACUGUUUUAAGUUUGUUAGGCUCUUCUUUCUGGAUUUUGAGGAUUUUCCCGUUGAUUAUGUUUUAGGAAGCAUCUUUUGUGGUUCAAUGGAACUUACUGGCAUCGCUCGAUGUAUCAUCUCUCUAUGGCAAAUCUAUGAUAGCUUUUCUUCUCAUGGUGGUUGGUGGGUUGGGUUCCACAAGCAAACCUGUGAGGCCAUCUCAAGCUUUUCCCUCUCUCUCUCUCUCAUGGCUCCAUGGGGUACCAAAUACUUUCUGUUCCUCUCCGUGUUACUGGCAGAGUUGAGCUUCUGCUUUGCAUCAUAGGCUUAUAUCAUUUAUAUGGGAAGCAAAAGCAAUGAUGACCCAGAUGAGGUAUUGAGACGGAAUCACCAAAUGCUCGCUGUUCAUGGAGGAAGGUUUGAAUAGGACUAAUAUUCUUGUUGCAGAGGACUAAAUCCAUGGAACUCAGAAUCACCAAUAAAAAAGCAAGAAUGGAAGAUUAUUAGUAGUUAUCAAAAGUUUGAAUGAAGAUUGGGUGGAUGACCUCUGACCUUUAAAAGGAAAAAAUCUUUUUAAAUAAAUUUUUUUCUGAAAAAAAUAAUUAUAACGGCGCUUUAAAGCGUCACUAACUAAAAAAAUAAGCAGUUAAAAGCCGAUGCUUUCAAGUGUCGCUAACUGCUCGAAGCGUAUAAACAUCGGCUUUUAGCGACGCUUUUAAACGUCGCUAAAAACCAUCCUUUAACACGCUUUCCAAAAGCGUUGGUAAAUUUUUUUUCUACUCUCACCUAGCUAGUGCUUUUGAAACGCUUUAGAAAACGUUGGCGGAAAAAUUACCGAUGCUUAUAAGCAUUGCUAUUGGCUUUAAAAAGCGCUAGAAAAGAUUUUUUUUUUUUUGUAGUGCUAUCAUACAUUUAUUUGCUUUUUUAUGAGGAACUAUAUUUAAUGAAUUUUGUCUCUUAAUUAAUGAUAUUAAAACUAAAGCUUAUUUAGAAGUAUGUCACUUUCAAGUUUUGGCACUUAAUCAGUAGGUUGAUUAGAAUGAUGUGACUAUUGGACAUGCUUAUUUAUAGUAAUGCAUCUGCGACUCUGCAUCUUAUUCUUCAUGUUGAAUAAAAUUAGAAUACCUCAUUUCUAAAUCUAUUGAGGAUAUGUAAUUAUAUUCUUGAUGGAAUUAAUAUAGAAAAAAGAGGGUGCCUUUGUAAUAUGUGUGAUAUACACGAUGGAGAAUAUAUAGAUAGUAACAACUUCAGUGUUGUCCUGUGCUGAACUAAAUAUUAUGGUUUUGACUGCAGAUAUGUUGAGGACAUGAUAUAAAGUUCCACGCUGUUCUUUUAUUCUUGCAGCUGAUAUUGUUGCAUAUCAACCUGUAGUUACCAUGGAUUUAUUCAAACAAUCCAUGCUGAUUACGUUAUCAACAUUGUAUCGUAUCAGUUGUAACUUUGACAUUCUCUUUGAUAAUUAUUUGAUAUCUUUUUUUCUGCUUAUAGUUUCAACCAGAUCUUGAAAUCAAAGAAAAUACAUCUGUAGAAGUACCAGAAUCUAGGUUUGCAUCGUAAACGCAUGGAAGUGAUUCGGUAAAGUAUCCACAUGAUUCAGUUGAGGAUGGGAUCUGCAUUUUAAUGAUUUCUUUACUAGUUGAGGGGACUUCUUCUGUCACAUUGCUGUCAUGUCAACAUGGUUUUUAUGCAGUGAACAUUUGAUACUUAUCUGUAUAUAAUUCUUUUUCUUAUUUAUCCAUUCACGAGUCAAAUUCAUCAUUCGAGGUACCCAUAUGAUGCAUGUAUACGGUUUCAACUUUCAAACUUCUAUGGCCAAUCAAGGUGCAAUGAAAAUGCACAAAUUCACGCCCAAUUUGGCUACACCCCUUUUGUCAUAGCCUUAUGCAAUAGGUGCUGGAAUAUAUGUGCUGACAUGAUGGUCUAUCUUCAUCACAUGUUGUGGGGUAUAUUUACCUGUGUAAGAUAGUUUCUGCAGUGGUGCUACCUGAAUAUAAGCUUUCACAGUAUUGGAAAUAAAUAUAGAACAUCUACAUUGUACUUGUGUAAGUAUAGUUACAUUCUCCCCCAUAACUUAUACCAUUAGUUUUGAAGUCAUUUGUAUUGAUAAUUUCGGACUUAUAGGCUAUGGGCUAUUCAUUCGGUAAAUGACUUGAAACUGUGCGAGGUAUUUUAAAAUUGAGAGAGAGAGAGAGAGAGAGAGAGAGAGAGCAAAAUAGGGUGUCUUGUUAGUUGCAAGCCUACCUGCUGAUAUGCAAAGUUCUGACUUGAAACUGUGCAAGGUAUUUUAAAAUUUAGAGAGAGAGAGAGAGCAAAAUAGGGUGUCUUGCUAGUUGCAAGCCUGCCUGCUGAUAUGCAAAGUUCUGCUGCUAACAUGUGUAAUCAUGUUCUCAUGCCAUUUUUUUCACAAUGUGCAAAGUUGCUUGGUAAUCACUUCUCCGAACUUGUGCAUUUAAUAUUGAAUGGAGUUGUAUCUGGAUUCACGUCUUAUUGAGAUACUUCACAUCAACUAAUAACCUUUAUCAAUUUUCCAAUUCAUGGUUUAUUUCUUAUAACUGAUGCUGUGUUAAUCUUUUUUCCUAUCGUCCUGGUUUAUUUUGUGGGUUAAGGUGACUUCUCAAAUCUAGAAUAUUAAGUCCACCUUCGAACUUAUGUUAAUGCACUUCAUAGAUGCCAGCUUCCUGUCUUAGUAUGACUGACCACUAAGUUUUGUGAUGCAUUGAACUAUUUUUCAGUUUAAUCUUACGUUGCUGUUGCAUAUGAAAGCUUUUUGUACGAUUAUCUGGCCAGUUUCAGUAUAUAUCUGGUCACAGGCCAGGUAAGUUUCUAUAUACCUAUAUUUCACUUUCAACGUUAAAAAAUUCUGUUGUAUUCCAUUUCAAGUGGCUAAUGAAUUCAUAUGUAAUGCAACUUGAGAUCAUUGGGUUAUUAUUUGCACAUAUUGCCUAAGAUGAAGUGGAAUGGGGAGUUGUGCUGUUAUCACUUGUGUAGAUUGUGCGACCAUGCCAGGUAUUCUUGUUUGUUUUAUUGCUAAAUCUGCUUAACUGAUAUCAACCAGAGAGAUUUUUUUUAGGUCCAGUAUGGCUUUUAAUAGUUUAUGUUUGUUAUUCUUUUGCAUUUUUUCAUAAUUUUAAUUGCUGCCUUGCCCUUGCAGGUGAGAAGGGCUCAUUCAUCGUAGACUCAACUUCAAAAGUUUCGAGUGAGUUAAAAUAUUUAUCCAAGUGCACGUGGGCACGUAUUGAAGAAUUCAGAAUUGUGGAAUUUUUGUUUUAAAAGUUUUUUUAUUUAAAUGUUUAUCCAUCUGUUCUGGAUCUUCUAGAAAUACUGAUUGCACUGCAAUGCUAAAAUGAUCUGAGAUGACUUACAAUUAUUUUUCAAUGAAGAAAUCACCUAACUAUUAAAAAAUCUAGUCAUCCAACUUCAUUCUACCUGUGUGAGAGUUCUUAUUUUGAUUCCUGCCCUUUUAUUACAUUUUAAACGGCUGGGUGGCCAGAACAUGGUGUACCUUUUAAUGCUGGUUUUCAAAUAUGGUGGCAUUAUGGACUAAAUAUCGUACCAAUUGUGUUUCUCUGUUUCAUUGAUUUAGGUUAGUGUUGCCUAACUGCUCAAGUCUUGUAACUGUAGAAUUGCUUCCCUAGCAUGGUAUGUUUCUUUUCUUUUUUUUUAAAAAAAAAAUCGAAUUGUUUUAUGCAUUUGUUCCCACUUUGAGUAAAUUUUAAUUCUGUUAGAUGCAAGUGUUGCUCCCUUAUGUCUCCUUGUUUUCAUGGCUAACUUUAGUUUGGUGAUCAUUGAAAGUGCUGCCACCCAGCCUAUGAUUUCACAGGACUUGAGACAUGGGCGUGUUGCGCCACCAUCUCACUAACUUUUCAAUACAUUUUGUAGUGGGGAAUGUUAAAUGAUCACCUUCAUUAUUACGAAGAGGGGCCAUGGAUGUAACCCUUUUUUGUCCUUUCAUGAUUUCGGUGGACAAACAGAACAGUAGACCAUGAUGGUCCUCAUUUACAAUUGAAAAGUCUCAUGUACUGAUAUUGCAAAGUGAACAAGACUGACGAGUGUCAACAGAAAUGACCAGGUUAAGCUUUCUUGCAGAUGGUUUACUUAUCCAUGUGUUAUUAAUUGUCAGCAAGAUAGGUCCUCUCUGGUUUUCAUCUUCUUUUUUUUUUUUAAAAAAAAAGAAACAGAAAAUACUUGAAGGAAGAACCAAAACUGCUGGGAGUGCGAUGGUGCCGAGAGGCCAGGCGAGCGCAGGAAGGUUUAAGAAAAUUUAGCUGAGAUUGAAGAGAAUGUUGAUUCAAAGAAUGUGGAUAGUUUUGAAUCGCUUGGAAACCAGAAAAUUGUGCAUCUCUGUUUCUUCUUUGGCAGGUGUUCCCUGCUCGCAAUGAAGAUGCGAGCCCGAGAAUUUUAACUGUUUUGUGUUGCAGGAUGGUAGCAAGCAAUGAUCACUAUAUUUUCUUCUCCGCAGUCAAUGUGAACAUCGCUUCAUGCUGUUAUAAAUAGAUUAAUUUAUUGUGUAA
This is a non-coding RNA of Phoenix dactylifera (date palm), 4655 nucleotides long. NCBI's taxonomy places the organism in Eukaryota, Viridiplantae, Streptophyta, Magnoliopsida, Arecales, Arecaceae. The record is from RefSeq and is a predicted model, not a curated record.